RNAcentral lists this ribosomal RNA (450 nucleotides) under uncultured bacterium. Its description in RNAcentral is "partial 16S ribosomal RNA". It matches the Rfam family "Bacterial small subunit ribosomal RNA", at positions 354 to 796 of the family's 1533-position model. The record is from RNAcentral.
GUGGGGAAUUUUGGACAAUGGGCGCAAGCCUGAUCCAGCAAUGCCGCGUGCAGGAAGAAGGCCUUCGGGUUGUAAACUGCUUUUGUACGGAACGAAACGGUCCGGGUUAAUACCCUGGGCUAAUGACGGUACCGUAAGAAUAAGCACCGGCUAACUACGUGCCAGCAGCCGCGGUAAUACGUAGGGUGCAAGCGUUAAUCGGAAUUACUGGGCGUAAAGCGUGCGCAGGCGGUUUUGUAAGACAGGCGUGAAAUCCCCGGGCUCAACCUGGGAAUUGCGCUUGUGACUGCAAGGCUGGAGUGCGGCAGAGGGGGAUGGAAUUCCGCGUGUAGCAGUGAAAUGCGUAGAUAUGCGGAGGAACACCGAUGGCGAAGGCAAUCCCCUGGGCCUGUACUGACGCUCAUGCACGAAAGCGUGGGGAGCAAACAGGAUUAGAAACCCCGGUAGUCC